GACGAACGCUGGCGGCGUGCCUAAUACAUGCAAGUAGAACGCUGAAGAGAGGAGCUUGCUCUUCUUGGAUGAGUUGCGAACGGGUGAGUAACGCGUAGGUAACCUGCCUUGUAGCGGGGGAUAACUAUUGGAAACGAUAGCUAAUACCGCAUAACAAUGGAUGACACAUGUCAUUUAUUUGAAAGGGGCAAAUGCUCCACUACAAGAUGGACCUGCGUUGUAUUAGCUAGUAGGUGAGGUAACGGCUCACCUAGGCGACGAUACAUAGCCGACCUGAGAGGGUGAUCGGCCACACUGGGACUGAGACACGGCCCAGACUCCUACGGGAGGCAGCAGUAGGGAAUCUUCGGCAAUGGGGGCAACCCUGACCGAGCAACGCCGCGUGAGUGAAGAAGGUUUUCGGAUCGUAAAGCUCUGUUGUAAGUCAAGAACGAGUGUGAGAGUGGAAAGUUCACACUGUGACGGUAGCUUACCAGAAAGGGACGGCUAACUACGUGCCAGCAGCCGCGGUAAUACGUAGGUCCCGAGCGUUGUCCGGAUUUAUUGGGCGUAAAGCGAGCGCAGGCGGUUUGAUAAGUCUGAAGUUAAAGGCUGUGGCUCAACCAUAGUUCGCUUUGGAAACUGUCAAACUUGAGUGCAGAAGGGGAGAGCGGAAUUCCAUGUGUAGCGGUGAAAUGCGUAGAUAUAUGGAGGAACACCGGUGGCGAAAGCGGCUCUCUGGUCUGUAACUGACGCUGAGGCUCGAAAGCGUGGGGAGCGAACAGG
Molecule: ribosomal RNA, 765 nt
Filed under: uncultured Streptococcus sp.
Lineage: Bacteria; Bacillati; Bacillota; Bacilli; Lactobacillales; Streptococcaceae
Description: bacterial SSU rRNA
Rfam family: Bacterial small subunit ribosomal RNA
Source: RNAcentral